UGGCUGAGUGGUUAAAGCAUUUGGCUGCUUACCAAAAGGCUGGUGGUUCAAAUCCACC
Molecule: transfer RNA, 58 nt
Filed under: Loxodonta africana (African savanna elephant)
Lineage: Eukaryota; Metazoa; Chordata; Mammalia; Proboscidea; Elephantidae
Rfam family: tRNA
About the family: Transfer RNA (tRNA) molecules are approximately 80 nucleotides in length. Their secondary structure includes four short double-helical elements and three loops (D, anti-codon, and T loops).
Source: Rfam by way of RNAcentral